RNAcentral lists this ribosomal RNA (472 nucleotides) under uncultured bacterium. Its description in RNAcentral is "bacterial SSU rRNA". It matches the Rfam family "Bacterial small subunit ribosomal RNA", at positions 28 to 507 of the family's 1533-position model. The record is from RNAcentral.
GAUGAACGCUGGCGGUGCGCCUAAUGCAUGCAAGUCGAGCGACGCACUCCGGAGGGGUAACCCACUGGAAUGACGGAGCGGCGAACGGGUGAGUAUCACGUGAGCAACCUGCCCCGCAGACCGGGAUAGCCCAGGGAAACCUGGAUUAAUACCGGAUACCCUCGGGGGACCGCAUGGUCCAUCGAGGAAAGGCCUUUGUGCUGUGGGAUGGGCUCGCGACUUAUCAGCUAGUUGGUGGGGUAACGGCCUACCAAGGCAUUGACGAGUAGCUGGUCUGAGAGGACGAUCAGCCACACUGGAACUGAGACACGGUCCAGACUCCUACGGGAGGCAGCAGCAGGGAAUCUUGCGCAAUGGGCGAAAGCCUGACGCAGCGACACCGCGUGGGGGAUGAAGGCCUUCGGGUUGUAAACCCCUUUCAGGAGGGAAGAAAUUGACGGUACCUCCACAAGAAGGACCGGCCAACUACGUG